Triticum dicoccoides is the source of this 828-nucleotide long non-coding RNA. RefSeq lists it as uncharacterized. Lineage: Eukaryota; Viridiplantae; Streptophyta; Magnoliopsida; Poales; Poaceae. The record is from RefSeq and is a predicted model, not a curated record. The transcript is spliced from 3 exons.
CCCCGAGCCACACGCACACCCAAUCCCCUCCCCUCCAACCCUAGCCACCCUGCUCCCCUCCCUCUCCACGGCGCCGCCGCCGCCGCCUCCUCCCCUUCUGCCCUGCUCUCCACCGUGCCACCUCUUCCUCCUCUUCACUGCCCUCUCCAGCGGCGGCAAAGAACGGCGGCGCUCGAUCCAAUCUGCUGAAGAGAAAAGAUGAGAGAGGGAGAGAGGCAAGGAAGGAGAGGAGGGAGAAAGAUAGAGGAAAUAGGAGAGCGAGGUGUGACGGCGGAUGAGAGAGGGUGACCGGAAGGAGCAUGAUGACCUGCAGACAAAGGGCGGUGGCGGCGCCGCUCAAUUUGAUCUGCGGGAUAGAGAAGAUGAGAGGGAGAGAGAGAAGGAAGAACAUGAGAGGAGGGAGAAAGGGAGAGGAAAGAGGAGAGGGGGUCGACGGCCGACAGGAGAGGACCACCGGAAGGAGUGCCAUCGGCUCGUCGUCUUCCACCACCGGCGUCGGCCUGCACCGGCGAGGUCGGGCGGGACCUUGCUUCUAGGGCGGCUUGACCACAGUCUACAGAACAGUAAAAAUGGAGGAUUUGGGGCUGCUUAGUUUUGGAGUAGUAAACCAUGGAGGAUAUGGGGCUGCACGUGCUUGGAGCAGCAAGCCAUGGCAAAGAAGUACUACCAGGGGUGGCUGUUUGUUUACUGAAGGGGGUGUUGAUCUGCUGCCCCUUGUUCUACACUCUGUCCAAGUAUGAAUUUGGAUGCAUGCUUACAAAGAAUUAUCUGAUUACAUGUUUGAUGCUCUCUAAAAAAUUGCUACAAAGAUUCAUAAGAAACUUCUCG